Molecule: ribosomal RNA, 494 nt
Filed under: uncultured bacterium
Lineage: Bacteria
Description: partial 16S ribosomal RNA
Rfam family: Bacterial small subunit ribosomal RNA
Source: RNAcentral
GACGAACGCUGGCGGCGUGCUUAACACAUGCAAGUCGAACGGUGAAGCGCCUUCCUUUUUGGUGGGUGUGGAUGAGUGGCGAACGGGUGAGUAACACGUGAGUAACCUGCCCCCUUCUUCUGGAUAACCGCAUGAAAGUGUGGCUAAUACGGGAUAUUCUGGGUCUGUCGCAUGAUGGGUCUGGGAAAGAUAUUGUUUCGGUGGGGGAUGGGCUCGCGGCCUAUCAGCUUGUUGGUGGGGUGAUGGCCUACCAAGGCGGUGACGGGUAGCCGGCCUGAGAGGGUGGACGGUCACACUGGGACUGAGACACGGCCCAGACUCCUACGGGAGGCAGCAGUGGGGAAUAUUACACAAUGGGCGCAAGCCUGAUGCAGCGACGCCGCGUGAGGGAUGGAGGCCUUCGGGUUGUGAACCUCUUUCGCCAGUGAAGCAGGCCUGCCUAGUUUGUGGGUGGGUUGACGGUAGCUGGAUAAGAAGCGCCGGCUAACUACGUG